This 497-nucleotide ribosomal RNA is filed under the name uncultured bacterium. RNAcentral's name for it is "partial 16S ribosomal RNA". It matches the Rfam family "Bacterial small subunit ribosomal RNA", at positions 28 to 507 of the family's 1533-position model. The record is from RNAcentral.
GAUGAACGCUGGCGGCGUGCCUAAUACAUGCAAGUCGAGCGAACAGAUGAGAAGCUUGCUCCUCUGACGUUAGCGGCGGACGGGUGUGUAACACGUGGAUAACCUACCUAUAAUUCUGGGAUAACUUCGGGAAACCGGUGCUAAUACUGCAUAAUAUAUUGAACCGCAUGGUUCAAUAGUGAAAGACGGUUUUGCUGUCACUUAUAGAUGGAUCCGCGCCGCAUUAGCUAGUUGGUAAGGUAACGGCUUACCAAGGCAACGAUGCGUAGCCGACCUGAGAGGGUGAUCGGCCACACUGGAACUGAGACACGGUCCAGACUCCUACGGGAGGCAGCAGUAGGGAAUCUUCCACAAUGGGCGCAAGCCUGACGGAGCAACGCCGCGUGAGUGAAGAAGGUCUUCGGAUCGUAAAACUCUUUUGUUAGGGAAGAACAAAUGUGUAAGUAACUAUGCACGUCUUGACGGUACCUAAUCAGAAAGCCACGGCUAACUUCGUG